GACGAACGCUGGCGGCGUGCUUAACACAUGCAAGUCGAACGGAAAGGCCCUGCUUUUGUGGGGUGCUCGAGUGGCGAACGGGUGAGUAACACGUGAGUAACCUGCCCUUGACUUUGGGAUAACUUCAGGAAACUGGGGCUAAUACCGGAUAGGAGCUCCUGCUGCAUGGUGGGGGUUGGAAAGUUUCGGCGGUUGGGGAUGGACUCGCGGCUUAUCAGCUUGUUGGUGGGGUAGUGGCUUACCAAGGCUUUGACGGGUAGCCGGCCUGAGAGGGUGACCGGCCACAUUGGGGCUGAGAAACGGCCCAGACUCCUACGGGGGGCAGGAGUGGGGAAUAUUGCACAAUGGGCGGAAGCCUGAUGGAGCAACGCCGCGUGCGGGAUGACGGCCUUCGGGUUGUAAACCGCUUUCGCCUGUGACGAAGCGUGAGUGACGGUAAUGGGGAAAGAAGCACCGGCUAACUACGU
RNAcentral lists this ribosomal RNA (467 nucleotides) under uncultured bacterium. RNAcentral's name for it is "partial 16S ribosomal RNA". It matches the Rfam family "Bacterial small subunit ribosomal RNA", at positions 28 to 506 of the family's 1533-position model. The record is from RNAcentral.